GCCAGGCGUGGUGGUGCGCGCCUGUAAUCCCAGCUACUUGGGAGGCUGAGGCAGGAGAAUCGCUUGAACCCAGGAGGCGAUGGUUGCAGUGAUCCAAGAUCGCAUCAUUGCACUCCAGCCUGGGCAAGAGAGUGAGACUCUGUCUCAA
Macaca fascicularis (crab-eating macaque) is the source of this 148-nucleotide unclassified non-coding RNA. It matches the Rfam family "Metazoan signal recognition particle RNA". From Rfam's summary of the family: The signal recognition particle (SRP) is a universally conserved ribonucleoprotein. It is involved in the co-translational targeting of proteins to membranes. Lineage: Eukaryota; Metazoa; Chordata; Mammalia; Primates; Cercopithecidae. The record is from Ensembl.